UACGAGGGGAGCAAGCGUUGUUCGGAUUUACUGGGCGUAAAGGGCGCGUAGGCGGCCACGACAAGUCACUUGUGAAAUCUCCGGGCUUAACUCGGAACGGUCAAGUGAUACUGUCGGGCUAGAGUACAGAAGGGGCAACUGGAAUUCUCGGUGUAGCGGUGAAAUGCGUAGAUAUCAAGAGGAACACCAGUGGCGAAGGCGGCAUCCUGGACCGGUAUUGACGCUGAGGCGCGAAAGCCAGGGGAGCAAACGGG
This 254-nucleotide ribosomal RNA is filed under the name uncultured prokaryote. RNAcentral's name for it is "partial 16S ribosomal RNA". It matches the Rfam family "Bacterial small subunit ribosomal RNA", at positions 524 to 776 of the family's 1533-position model. The record is from RNAcentral.